UACGAAGGGGGCUAGCGUUGUUCGGAAUUACUGGGCGUAAAGGGCGCGUAGGCGGUACUUCAAGUCAGGCGUGAAAGCCCCGGGCUCAACCUGGGAACCGCGCUUGAGACUGGAGAACUAGAGUUCGGGAGGGGAUGGUGGAAUUCCCAGUGUAGAGGUGAAAUUCGUAGAUAUUGGGAAGAACACCGAUGGCGAAGGCAGCCAUCUGGACCGACACUGACGCUGAGGCGCGAAAGCGUGGGGAGCAAACAGG
Molecule: ribosomal RNA, 253 nt
Filed under: uncultured bacterium
Lineage: Bacteria
Description: partial 16S ribosomal RNA
Rfam family: Bacterial small subunit ribosomal RNA
Source: RNAcentral